GGUGCGUGUACAUUUGUGUGUGAGUGCGUUUGAGCGUUUGAGUGGGAGAGAGAUAAAGAGAGCGAGAGUUUGUGUGUGUAUCUAUGCGUGCUAUAGCAUGAGUAGAGAUAUUCACGUCUUAUAAUUCAUAUAUAUUCAAUAGAAUUUAGUUUCUGUAUAGUUCAUUUAGUUUACACGUAGAAAUUGUAUGUUCGUGUUUUAAAUGAUGUUCCCAAAGAUAUUUGGUUUUUCCAGGAACUACAAAAACUUAUUGAUAUGUUUGGAAAAUAAAAUUGCACCGGAUUGUUACAACCUAUUUAAAGUGGUUCACUCGUGUCGCUAUAAUGGAAGUCCAGACAAGGUGACCUUUUACAUACCGGUUGUUCUUUCUGCAUGUGUGGUUUCAUUAAUGAAUAUAGAUACAUGGUUGCAAUGAUAAUGUGCAUGCGUUAUUAACUUAGUAUUUUUGAUGGUUCGGUCUUGAACGUUUGAAAUAUAUCAAU
Molecule: long non-coding RNA, 482 nt
Organism: Octopus bimaculoides (California two-spot octopus)
Lineage: Eukaryota; Metazoa; Mollusca; Cephalopoda; Octopoda; Octopodidae
Source: RefSeq, a predicted model, not a curated record